GAGGGUAUAGCUUAAGUGGUAGAGCACAUGCUUAGCAUGCUUGAGGUCCUGGGUUCAAUCCCCAGUACCUCCU
Molecule: transfer RNA, 73 nt
Filed under: Camelus bactrianus (Bactrian camel)
Lineage: Eukaryota; Metazoa; Chordata; Mammalia; Artiodactyla; Camelidae
Also listed under: 2 other names
Rfam family: tRNA
About the family: Transfer RNA (tRNA) molecules are approximately 80 nucleotides in length. Their secondary structure includes four short double-helical elements and three loops (D, anti-codon, and T loops). Further hydrogen bonds mediate the characteristic L-shaped molecular structure. tRNAs have two regions of fundamental functional importance: the anti-codon, which is responsible for specific mRNA codon recognition, and the 3' end, to which the tRNAs corresponding amino acid is attached (by aminoacyl-tRNA synthetases). tRNAs cope with the degeneracy of the genetic code in two manners: having more than one tRNA (with a specific anti-codon) for a particular amino acid; and 'wobble' base-pairing, i.e. permitting non-standard base-pairing at the 3rd anti-codon position.
Source: Rfam by way of RNAcentral